ACGAACGCUGGCGGCGUGCUUAACCCAUGCAAGUCGAACGGAGAGGCCCUGCUUUUGUGGGGUGCUCGAGUGGCGAACGGGUGAGUAACACGUGAGUAACCUGCCCUUGACUUUGGGAUAACUUCAGGAAACUGGGGCUAAUACCGGAUAGGAGCUCCUGCUGCAUGGUGGGGGUUGGAAAGUUUCGGCGGUUGGGGAUGGACUCGCGGCUUAUCAGCUUGUUGGUGGGGUAGUGGCUUACCAAGGCUUUGACGGGUAGCCGGCCUGAGAGGGUGACCGGCCACAUUGGGACUGAGAUACGGCCCAGACUCCUACGGGAGGCAGCAGUGGGGAAUAUUGCACAAUGGGCGGAAGCCUGAUGCAGCAACGCCGCGUGCGGGAUGACGGCCUUCGGGUUGUAAACCGCUUUCGCCUGUGACGAAGCGUGAGUGACGGUAAUGGGUAAAGAAGCACCGGCUAACUACGUG
This 467-nucleotide ribosomal RNA is filed under the name uncultured bacterium. RNAcentral's name for it is "partial 16S ribosomal RNA". It matches the Rfam family "Bacterial small subunit ribosomal RNA", at positions 29 to 507 of the family's 1533-position model. The record is from RNAcentral.